UACGUAGGGUGCGAGCGUUGUCCGGAAUUACUGGGCGUAAAGAGCUCGUAGGUGGUUUGUCGCGUUGUCCGUGAAAACUUGGGGCUUAACUCCGAGCUUGCGGUCGAUACGGGCAGACUUGAGUUCGGCAGGGGAGACUGGAAUUCCUGGUGUAGCGGUGAAAUGCGCAGAUAUCAGGAGGAACACCGGUGGCGAAGGCGGGUCUCUGGGCCGAUACUGACGCUGAGGAGCGAAAGCGUGGGGAGCGAACAGG
RNAcentral lists this ribosomal RNA (253 nucleotides) under uncultured bacterium. RNAcentral's name for it is "partial 16S ribosomal RNA". It matches the Rfam family "Bacterial small subunit ribosomal RNA", at positions 524 to 776 of the family's 1533-position model. The record is from RNAcentral.